Molecule: transfer RNA, 71 nt
Filed under: Actinomortierella wolfii
Lineage: Eukaryota; Fungi; Mortierellomycota; Mortierellomycetes; Mortierellales; Mortierellaceae
Also listed under: 1 other name
Description: tRNA-Glu
Rfam family: tRNA
About the family: Transfer RNA (tRNA) molecules are approximately 80 nucleotides in length. Their secondary structure includes four short double-helical elements and three loops (D, anti-codon, and T loops). Further hydrogen bonds mediate the characteristic L-shaped molecular structure. tRNAs have two regions of fundamental functional importance: the anti-codon, which is responsible for specific mRNA codon recognition, and the 3' end, to which the tRNAs corresponding amino acid is attached (by aminoacyl-tRNA synthetases). tRNAs cope with the degeneracy of the genetic code in two manners: having more than one tRNA (with a specific anti-codon) for a particular amino acid; and 'wobble' base-pairing, i.e. permitting non-standard base-pairing at the 3rd anti-codon position.
Source: RNAcentral
GGCUCUAUGGUCAAAUGGUAAGACAUUACUCCUUCACAGUAAAGUUACCGGUUCAAUUCCGGUUGGAGUCA